GUCCGAUAUUGUUUUCUUGGAAAGAAAAUUUAGAGAGCAUUUGAUGUGAGAUGAUCCAUCCAAAAUCAAAGAUAAUAUGAAUGGAGAUGAUGAGAUCAUCAUAUUUGAUUACAUUAUGAUAAUUCUACGCAACAAUGAUAUCAAAUUAUCUCUAUUUUGCAAAUCAUCGUCCAUCCUAAUGAUAGGAUAUUUGUCCUUAGGAUCAGAAAUUCAAAAUCAUCCCUGAACAGUGAUC
RNAcentral lists this long non-coding RNA (235 nucleotides) under Elaeis guineensis (African oil palm). RNAcentral's name for it is "long non-coding RNA (EGUI_LNC029094)". The record is from RNAcentral. Lineage: Eukaryota; Viridiplantae; Streptophyta; Magnoliopsida; Arecales; Arecaceae.